This 467-nucleotide ribosomal RNA is filed under the name uncultured bacterium. RNAcentral's name for it is "partial 16S ribosomal RNA". It matches the Rfam family "Bacterial small subunit ribosomal RNA", at positions 28 to 507 of the family's 1533-position model. The record is from RNAcentral.
GACGAACGCUGGCGGCGUGCUUAACACAUGCAAGUCGAACGGAAAGGCCUCUUUCGGGGGGUACUCGAGUGGCGAACGGGUGAGUAACACGUGAGUAACCUGCCCUUGACUUUGGGAUAACUUCAGGAAACUGGGGCUAAUACCGGAUAGGAGCUCCUGCUGCAUGGUGGGGGUUGGAAAGUUUCGGCGGUUGGGGAUGGACUCGCGGCUUAUCAGCUUGUUGGUGGGGUAGUGGCUUACCAAGGCUUUGACGGGUAGCCGGCCUGAGAGGGUGACCGGCCACAUUGGGACUGAGAUACGGCCCAGACUCCUACGGGAGGCAGCAGUGGGGAAUAUUGCACAAUGGGUGGAAGCCUGAUGCAGCAACGCCGUGUGCGGGAGGACGGCCUUCGGGUUGUAAACCACUUUCGCUCAUGACGAAGCUUUGUGUGACGGUAGUGGGUAAAGAAGCACCGGCUAACUACGUG